This 497-nucleotide ribosomal RNA is filed under the name uncultured bacterium. Its description in RNAcentral is "partial 16S ribosomal RNA". It matches the Rfam family "Bacterial small subunit ribosomal RNA", at positions 28 to 507 of the family's 1533-position model. The record is from RNAcentral.
GACGAACGCUGGCGGCGUGCCUAAUACAUGCAAGUAGAACGCUGAAGAGAGGAGCUUACUCUUCUUGGAUGAGUUGCGCACGGGUGAGUAACGCGUAGGUAACCUGCCUUGUAGCGGGGGAUAACUAUUGGAAACGAUAGCUAAUCCCGCAUAACAAUGGAUGACACAUGUCAUUUAUUUGAAAGGGGCAAUUGCUCCACUACAAGAUGGACCUGCGUUGUAUUAGCUAGUAGGUGAGGUAAUGGCUCACCUAGGCGACGAUACAUAGCCGACCGGAGAGGGUGAUCGGCCACACUGGGACGGAGACACGGCCCAGACUCCUACGGGAGGCAGCAGUAGGGAAUCUGCGGCAAUGGGGGCAACCCUGACCGAGCAACGCCGCGUGAGGGAAGAAGGUUGUCGGAUCGUAAAGCUCUGUUGUAAGUCAAGAACGGGUGUGAGAGUGGAAAGUUCACACUGUGACGGUAGCUUACCAGAAAGGAACGGCUAACUACGUG